Poecilia latipinna (sailfin molly) is the source of this 2490-nucleotide long non-coding RNA. RefSeq lists it as uncharacterized. Lineage: Eukaryota; Metazoa; Chordata; Actinopteri; Cyprinodontiformes; Poeciliidae. The record is from RefSeq and is a predicted model, not a curated record. The transcript is spliced from 3 exons.
AACUGUGAAGUAGGACUUUAUCUUAGCGCAGCUAGGAAGAUGCAGAAGCAGAUGCUAACUUUAUUGUUGUUAGUGGUAACAGUUAGCUAGCUGGAGUUUUCUCAUAGAUCUUUAAAAUAGUUUGUUUCUUGUCUUCCACAUUUUCACCAUUUCUUCUUCUACCAAAUUAUUGAAAGUGAGGGCAAGUCCUUUUAUAAGCAAGUACUGUUAGCUUACCCAAUGACACAAUAUAGCCUAUAGCUAAGAUAUAUUAUUUACACACAAGAGAACAACUGCGUAGUGCCUUGGGAGUCAAAACUUACUUGAAUAAGAACUACAUUUUUAAUAUUGCAGAGUCUCGAAAUACAAGAUCUUAUUACAUCACUAUUAUGCACUGCUGAUAUUUAGCCUAAAUCCUACAAUUUGGAGUUCUGUUGUUUAUUUCGGCUUUCUUAUUUUCAUGUUAACAAACUAUCAGUGCUAAAGAGUGUGUGUAAUGUCACUGAUUAUUUUAAAGUGUAGUAAGUCUUUCACACAAUAAUUUGGAUACACAUUUAUAUAUCUGGAAGAUACAAGCAUUUCCAGAGAAAGUCUAAACUGAUGAUUAUAAAAAUUACAGGUCAAAAGUUACUACACUUUUGAAAGCCUACUAUUUGGCAAGAAACCAAGACAUGUGACAUGUCUUGCUGUUAACUAAUGGACUAUACCUGUUUAUAGUCCAUUAGUUAUGCUGUAUGAGGCUGCAUUACUGACAGAUUUUUAACGCGUUUAUAGUGCAACUUUAUUGUAAAGUGGUACUUGUAGUUUUACUAACUGAGCAAAGGCAGUAAUUUAUCUCAGUAAUGAACCUUUGGUGGAUCAAAUGACAGUUGUGUCUUAUGUCAUCCAAUGUGUGAAAUGUCUCGCCAUAAGUACCACGUGACUCAUUUUGUAAUCUAUAGCUUAACACGUGGCCGUCCCUCUGUGAGCGGGACACCCUCCUUACAAAGGCAGGCCUGUUUCGGAAAGGCUCCAUGUUGACAUUGACACAGAUUAGUUGCAGGCCAGCGGAGCACGGGCCCAACCUCGACAAUAACGCUCAGUUUUUCCCUCCGCAUCCUAAUUUGCCUCGUUUCAGCUCGCUGUCCCUCCUUCUUCUCCCGUCUUUUCUCACCUCUCUUAUUUGAAAAUAGCCCCUUAUUGCUCCUUCCCUGCAGUCUGUCUUCACGGCGCUUCUCUUCAAACACACAAUGGAUCUCAGAGCGAGCGUCAGAGCCUGUCAGCACGUUGCAGUGACAUAACAUUCCUGUGUGUAUGAAUAGGAUGAGCAUGUAUCUGCAGUAUUUAGUGUUCUCUUUUUUAGAAACUGUAUAUGACUCUCAAUCAAUUGCUAUCAUUUGUCAUUGUACCAAACAAUGCCAUUGUGCAACCCAAUCCCCAGCCACCCCUCCUUCUGCGCCCUCCUCUCUUGUCUGUUCGUCUCUCCUGCUGCAAGCCAUCCCUCGUUCCGACCAUCCUUGACCUUUGUCCAAGGAUACUGUUUCUCGUCCUGGCUUGAGACUUUCUUAAAAUAAAGCCUGUGCCAUGCAAAUGUACUAGAACACACUGCCACUCACUUUCUGUCUUCCUCUUUAUCUUGCUCUCUCUCUCUCUCUUUUUUUUUUUUUUUGUUCCACACACAGCCGUCAGGCCUUCUAGGGCCACAGCGACAGCUGUAAGGGAGGCCGGAGGGCAGAGACUGAGGAUUAAGACAAUGUGUGCAACGCGCUGUCCUUAAUAAAACCAUAGCAGAGAGAGCAGCAGCAGAGAGGGAGAGAGGGAUUCCUUGUGUAAAUGAGAGUGUAUCUAAAAGUAAUUUAAUAUCUCGGUGAUGUACAUGCUGUAUUUGGCCGUCUGAGUGUGUGUUUGUCUUCACCACAGAGAUGACAGGAAGUGAGCGGGACAGGUGGCUUCACGCCGAGGGAUGCGCUUUGAUGGACAGAACAUGCGAUCCAGACACGGAUGAGGGAGUAACAGAUUCAGAGGGAUUAAAUGGCAACGAGAGGGAUGCUCUACGUGGCAUACACAGAUGCUCAGCUCAACAGUUGACUUCCUUUAAUCGUGCACGCACGUGCAGCUGAAAUGUUCUUUGGUGGAAAAUUUUGGUUUUGAAUUCAGAAUGAGUUUCUCGGCGUCUGCAGAGACGGAUCUGAAAACUUGACUGACACACUUUCAUGGCAUUCCCUAACGUGACACCUAAAUGUGCCUGCUCCAUAAACGUAACCACCCAGCGUUUGUCUCUCUCACACACACACACACACACACACACACACACACACACACACACACACACACACACACACACACACACACACACACACACACACAGCUGGUGUAUUUGUCAGUCCUUAAACACUUCUCCAUCUUCCUCCUCUGUUUUUUCAUCCCUCCAUCUCUGCUCGUGUGAUGCUCAUCCACCACGACAAAUCCAGUGAAGGAUAUUGAAUAAAUUAUUAAAAAAUAAAAAAUCUCAUCAUUCACUGCCUCUUUGUC